RNAcentral lists this ribosomal RNA (492 nucleotides) under uncultured bacterium. RNAcentral's name for it is "partial 16S ribosomal RNA". It matches the Rfam family "Bacterial small subunit ribosomal RNA", at positions 29 to 507 of the family's 1533-position model. The record is from RNAcentral.
AGUGAACGCUGGCGGUAGGCCUAACACAUGCAAGUCGAACGGCAGCACAGUAAGAGCUUGCUCUUACGGGUGGCGAGUCGCGGACGGGUGAGGAAUACAUCAGAAUCUACUUUUUCGUGGGGGAUAACGUAGGGAAACUUACGCUAAUACCGCAUACGACCUACGGGUGAAAGCAGGGGAUCUUCGGACCUUGCGCGAUUGAAUGAGCCGAUGUCGGAUUAGCUAGUUGGCGGGGUAAAGGCCCACCAAGGCGACGAUCCGUAGCUGGUCUGAGAGGAUGAUCAGCCACACUGGAACUGAGACACGGUCCAGACUCCUACGGGAGGCAGCAGUGGGGAAUAUUGGACAAUGGGCGCAAGCCUGAUCCAGCCAUACCGCGUGGGUGAAGAAGGCCUUCGGGUUGUAAAGCCCUUUUGUUGGGAAAGAAAAGCAGCAGGUUAAUACCCCGCUGUUCUGACGGUACCCAAAGAAUAAGCACCGGCUAACUUCGUG